UCCCUACAAUUGUAUUCUAUUGUGAUGAACUCAUUGUCAUUUCAUAUUAUUAUAUAAACUCAAUACCAAUUUCGGAUUUAGAAGAACAAAGCUUUCCUUUCCCACCGAUUAUUAAUUGAUGUUCUGUUCAUACUCUCUCUUUCUUUCGCGCCUCAGAAGCCGAAGAUUUGAUGAUUCUACUCUGCGAAUUCUGGAAUUAUUUCCCGCUUCCAAAGACGCGACCUCGUUGGCGGAUGUUAAAUCCAGCUUUUCUGAACUUCUCAGAUUUGAAUCUCUAUCUAUCAUUCGUGAAACCGCUGAGAAAACUGAUGAUCAAAAGCUUCUAGUCAUCGAAUUUCUUGUUCGAGCUUUUGCCCUCGUUGGAGACAUUGAGAGUUGCUUAGCUUUGAGAUACGAGGCCUUGAAUUUUCGGGUACUGAAGUCUUUCAAUCAACCAUGGCUUCAAGUAUCACACGCAGAAUGGUUAAACUUCGCUGAGCAUUCAUUGCAUGCUGGCUUUUUCUCAAUUGCCAUAAAGGCAUAUGAGCAAGCACUGUCAAGCCUUCAGCAGAGUGAUACUGCAAACUACACAUCACAUGGUUCCUUUAAACACACAGAAGUCAUCGAGAAGAUAAAUAGACUCAAAGAUCAUGCUCUGAAUUUAUCUGGUUCCCAUUCUGUUCAAGCUCUCACAUCUGAUUAUUUGAAAAAGAAAGUAACUGAAAGGAGCAGAAAGAUUUCUUCAUCCUGCACAAGAAAGUUUACAGCGAGCACUCUAUUCAGAAAUGGUAUCAGAAACUACAAUGCAAGAAAGCUGCAUGAAUAUCGAAGUAUUGGUGGGGUUAACCAGAAAGUCGCACAAAAUCCAGUUUUGUGAUCAGACCUACAUGUAGUCUCUCUUCAUACCCAUCUGACUAGAUAAAUGUUCAGGGAGUAGAUCGGGGAGACUUAGGGGCAUAAGAAAAAGUGUUUCUACAAAAUUCCAGUUGAUCUCAGUUCUGUGCAAGUCUAAGUUGCCUCUCCCCGUCUGACAGUUGGAAUUGGGGUCUAUCACCCGUAGUCAUUUAAAGGAGAUCACCGAAGAACAUGGACAAAGUUUUGCCAUCGCAUAGAGCAUUUUAAAGCAGUUGAUGGAGUCUCCUAAAGAUGAGAUUGUCAUCAAAGAGAAUUCAUUGUAUGAUAACUUUGAUUCUACCUCUAACACGUCAAAGAGGGAAUCACUCCCUCACGUGAUACCUAUUAUGACGACUAAUGUAAUAGUCGAGGCAGACAUGAUAGAGAUGGGGAGCAUGUAAUCUUCUGAUGAAAGCUAUCGAGGAACAAGACUACAAAACUGCAACCUUGAGAGAUCAAAUGUAGGCUCGUGAAACUGGUAAGUCCAACGAAGCUCCUACUGUCAAGGCCGAUGACAAAGGGAAAAACAUGGUACAGGAAAGCCAUUCACAACAAUAAACUUUUGUUGCCUCCCUGUCAGUCUAGUAGCUGUAGGAUAUGAUCACAAACUCUAUCAAGGCCGAGCAUGGAGCCUCAUCUCAUACUUCUAAAAGAAUGACAAUUUGAGAAUGUCUUUUGAGUACCAACCACCCAAAA
Cucumis melo (muskmelon) is the source of this 1569-nucleotide RNA transcript. It is a transcript of the gene named protein DOUBLE-STRAND BREAK FORMATION, with no coding region annotated. The transcript has 7 exons. NCBI's taxonomy places the organism in Eukaryota, Viridiplantae, Streptophyta, Magnoliopsida, Cucurbitales, Cucurbitaceae. The record is from RefSeq and is a predicted model, not a curated record.